AUGAUUAUACCACAACCGUUAAAGCACCCCCACCAGCAAUCUCUGCCUCUUCCCCGCCUCCAACGGCAGCACCUGAACCGUCAACCCGCUCUAGCCCAACCACUUGUCUUCCACCUCCCUCGGUCGGCGUUGUCACAUCACAGCUCUGCCGUGUGUCCUGCCCAAGACGCCUCCAACUUUGCUCGACCUCCUGAUGUACUCGCCGCCAGGGAGAUUCCUUCUCCACCGGGGCCCGUCACCAGCCAGCAUAAAUACCCACCCCCUCCCCUCCUCCAAUCCUCACAACAGCUCCCAGGAACGGAACCAACAAAUCCACACCCAAUCUCGUCUCCGAUCGACUCGAGAGCUCGUCGAAUCCUCCUCCCCCAUCGUCUCAAGGGCAUUCCCCCGGACCAGCAGCGCCUGAUCUUUGCUGGCAAGCAGCUGGAGGACGGCCGCACCCUGGCCGACUACAACAUCCAGAAAGAGUCCACCCUUCACCUGGGCAUUCCCCCGGACCAGCAGCGCCUGAUCUUUGCUGGCAAGCAGCUGGAGGACGGCCGCACCCUUGCAGACUACAACAUUCAGAAGGAGUCCACCCUUCACCUGGUGCUCCGUCUCCGUGGUGAUUUGGAUGAUGCAAUUUUAUUCUUCUAUCUUGUGGAUAAUGCUGCGGAUUGUUUCUUAAUGCAAGUUAUCCACGGAAGCUUCUUCCAUCUCAAAAUGCUCUAA
This 711-nucleotide ribosomal RNA is filed under the name Triticum aestivum (bread wheat). RNAcentral describes it as "partial small subunit ribosomal RNA". Lineage: Eukaryota; Viridiplantae; Streptophyta; Magnoliopsida; Poales; Poaceae. The record is from RNAcentral.